GCGCGCAUAGCUCAGUUGGUUUAGAGCAUUCGACUGAUACUCGAAAGGUCCUAGGUUCAAAUCCUAGUGCGCGCA
This 75-nucleotide transfer RNA is filed under the name Candidatus Wolfebacteria bacterium. RNAcentral describes it as "tRNA-Ile". It matches the Rfam family "tRNA". Rfam says of the family: Transfer RNA (tRNA) molecules are approximately 80 nucleotides in length. Their secondary structure includes four short double-helical elements and three loops (D, anti-codon, and T loops). Further hydrogen bonds mediate the characteristic L-shaped molecular structure. tRNAs have two regions of fundamental functional importance: the anti-codon, which is responsible for specific mRNA codon recognition, and the 3' end, to which the tRNAs corresponding amino acid is attached (by aminoacyl-tRNA synthetases). tRNAs cope with the degeneracy of the genetic code in two manners: having more than one tRNA (with a specific anti-codon) for a particular amino acid; and 'wobble' base-pairing, i.e. permitting non-standard base-pairing at the 3rd anti-codon position. The record is from RNAcentral. Lineage: Bacteria; Candidatus Wolfeibacteriota.